This 427-nucleotide ribosomal RNA is filed under the name uncultured bacterium. RNAcentral's name for it is "bacterial SSU rRNA". It matches the Rfam family "Bacterial small subunit ribosomal RNA", at positions 355 to 775 of the family's 1533-position model. The record is from RNAcentral.
UGGGGAAUUUUGCACAAUGGGCGAAAGCCUGAUGCAGCAACGCCGUGUGUGUGAUGAAGGUCUUCGGAUUGUAAAGCACUUUCGACCGGGACGAACACCUGUUGGCUAACAUCCAACAGCCUGACGGUACCGGGAGAAGAAGCACCGGCUAACUCUGUGCCAGCAGCCGCGGUAAUACAGAGGGUGCAAGCGUUGUUCGGAAUUAUUGGGCGUAAAGCGCGUGUAGGCGGCUUUGCAAGUCGGGUGUGAAAUCCCUCAGCUCAACUGAGGAAGUGCGCCCGAAACUGCAGAGCUUGAGUACCAGAGAGGACGGCAGAAUUCCCCAAGUAGAGGUGAAAUUCGUAGAUAUGGGGAGGAAUACCGGUGGCGAAGGCGGCCGUCUGGAUGGAUACUGACGCUGAGACGCGAAAGCGUGGGGAGCAAACAG